AUCUACGGCGAUGCCAGCCUGAUCCCAUCUGAUCUUGGAAGCUACAGGGUCAGACCUGGUUAGUACUUGGAUGGGAGACCACCUAGGAAGACCAGCUGCUAUAGAUG
This 107-nucleotide ribosomal RNA is filed under the name Pteropus alecto (black flying fox). RNAcentral also lists the same sequence under 1 other name. Lineage: Eukaryota; Metazoa; Chordata; Mammalia; Chiroptera; Pteropodidae. The record is from RNAcentral.